CGGGAGAAUAAAACAUUUAAAAGAAGACAUAAUCUCUGACUUCAAGAGGCUCCUGGUUUUUAGGGAGACAGAUACAUAAACAAGUAUGUAGAGAGUAUAAUGAUUACUGCUAUAGGCAGUCAUAUAUUUAAUACUUACAGUCCUUUAACUCAGUAGAAUGAUCAGUAGAACACUGUAAGCACCAUUACUUAAGUGUCUAUAAACCCAAUAUAUCUCAAAAAAGUAGUGCUUGUGCUUAUUGUUAAGUACAUUCUAGUAACUGUACAGUUAGAUGGUUAAGUGAGACAUUACUUCUCUAUGUAUACAGGUGAUGGUGCUCCCUUUAGUGAGUCAUUUAAAAUUAUCUAGAUAUGUAAUGAAUUAAUGAUUAUCCAGAGUGGAAGGAUCAGGUUACUCAAGGGGAUCACAGGCAGGAUCAGGAAAUACUUCCUUGCAAAUUAUUUAUGCACCAGGCUAGACUCACCACCACGAAACAGGAGCUGAGAGGAAAGGCCCUGGGUGUCUGGAAGCCUCAUGUGCUCCAUCUCAAGUUGAACUCCAGAGUCAUUCGAUGUUCAUGCUGUUUGCCACUUGGCAAUUCUAAUCUAUCAACAGAUGUCUGGAUAGAGCACUUUUGUGCAUAGAGCCUUUGAAAGAAGUCAGAGCUAAGGAAACUCACCAGCUCCUUUAGAGACAAAAACUCACAAGGCACACACGUUGUGGUCCGAUCUUUAUGGCUGUGUGGGAGAACUACAGUGUGAUUUCAGACUUUUUCUUGGCAUGUGGAGUCUGUUAAUCCUGAAACUUCAAAAUGUACAUAUUUCCCCCAAAUGAGAUGUAAGUCUGUUGAGUUAAUUAUCAUACAAUUAUAGCAAUGGAAAAGAAAACCCUCAUCAAACGUGAACAGCUUGUCUAACUAUUAACCAGACCAUGGUGAACCAUUACUUAGCUCUGACUUGCAUGAUCCAUCAUAGACUUUUGGCCCUCUGUGAACAAAUGCUUAAAUGAGUUCAUAGUCAUUUAAAACUGAAAGGCCUGACUGCCUGGGUUCUUGUGAUUGUCUUUAAAUUGUUCAGUCAUUAUAUUUUACUGGCAUGAAGUUAUGGCGAUCUUCCUCUCUUCUCCAUGUGAUAGGAAAGAGCUGGCAGGUCAUGGUCAUGAAAGACAUAGCUUUGCAGGACUUUGACCUACUAAAGUGGUGAUUUGUUUUAUAACAUUUCUACUUAUAUUCCCUUAAGCUGCUAAAAAUACAUUAGAAGUCAAAUCCCUCUGAAUAAGUUUUCUUUCUAGGAAGAGCCAGAGUCCAAAGCAUUGUAUUCAGGGUGUCUUUUAGAAUUAGUCCAAUUUGCACUAUUUUCAGGAUAAUUCAGCUAUUGCCAGUAUUAUAGCAGUCAAAUACAAAAUGACCCAGGUGCAGCAUGGUGAACUUUUGGUUUACAGUUUUAAAUUCAAGAGGCCACUUUCGAUUGAUACAAGGAUAUGAAAUUCGGGUUUAUUCUGGUUGAAUAGGUUGAAGUUUAGGACUGGGAAGGAAAAAGAGGAAGGAUAAAGCCAAUCAGAUGGUAUGAUAUCACAUUCAAGACCAAGUAAUGAGACUGUGAGCUCAUUUUAUCCUCAGGCACACUAGAAAGUAGGCAUACUACACAGUAACAGCCAACUUUUUGUUCAUUCUAACUCUUACCACACCGAGCUUUCCUUGGUGUCAGCCACAGGGGUCACUAAGCCAUCAGCUGAUCAGGAAAGGUAGGAACUAGAAUUUUUUUUUUAAAUAUAAUUUGUAAAGUUUAUUUACUUUUAUUUUUCUUUUUUACUUUAAAUUCCAGGAUACAUGUGCAGAACGUGCAGGUUUGUUACAUAGGUAUACGUGUGCCAUGGUGGUUUACUGUACCUAUUGACCCAUCCUUUAAGUUCCCUCCCCUUGCCCCCACCUCCCAACAGGCCCUGGUCUGUGUUGUUCCCCUCCCAGUGUCCAUGUGAAACUGGAAUUUUCUACGGUACUAUGUGGUGUCACGGACUCAGUCAAAGGUAAGACUGAUUGAAUGUGGAACAGAUUCAUUUAUCUUGGGCUUUGACAGAGUGAGACGUUUAGAAAUGGAGGCAAGUAGCUGACUUUAAUUUUGCAAACACAGGCUUAACUACUGCAAAUGAGCUUUUCUAUUGACAAAAAGUGUCUAGAUAACAUUUAUUUUGUUGUUGUUACUUCCCCAUAGCUAGGGUCUGGGCAAUGGGAGGAGGAGAAAGAAAUGUGGUGAAAAGAGAGGGUGGAGGUGAAUCUCUGCUGAUGGUGUUGUUGAAGCUGCCACAGCAACCACCAAUGGUAACCACCCUGAAGGCACUCUUUGUAAACAAACAGGCUGUUCCCAUGAAAGUAUCAGUCUCAUAAGACCAAUAUCAGCAAGCGUAUUGUGCGUUCCUUUUUUUCCAAUCCAGCCUUCUGCUAACAAGAAAAGAAAAGCAAACAUCUUGGGAAUAAGAACCCAGUAGGGGUGAAUAUUCCAAGAUGCUUUGAAUGUCAAGACUUGCUUUCCAAGCUUACCUUGCUUCCUGUAAGCAUUUUGAAAAAUUGAAAAUAAGCUGUGGAAGAGAUCCCAAGUAGAGGUUUGCUUGGGGAGAAGAUUCCAGUAAGAAUAAAGUUUAUGAUAAAGAUCCCAGGCCAUGACUUGGAAAAAGUCAAGCUUAGAAGAAC
Molecule: long non-coding RNA, 2665 nt
Organism: Papio anubis (olive baboon)
Lineage: Eukaryota; Metazoa; Chordata; Mammalia; Primates; Cercopithecidae
Source: Ensembl